AUUGAACGCUGGCGGCAGGCCUAACACAUGCAAGUCGAACGAGUGGCGGACGGGUGAGUAAUGUCUGGGAAACUGCCCGAUGGAGGGGGAUCACUACUGGAAACGGUAGCUAAUACCGCAUACCAUCGGAUGUGCCCAGGUGGGAUUAGCGAGUAGGUGGGGUAACGGCUCACCUAGCCGACGAUCCCUAGCUGGUCUGAGAGGAUGACCAGGCACACUGGAGCUGAGACACGGUCCAGACUCAGACGGGAGGCAGCAGUGGGGAAUAUUGCACAAUGGGCGCAAGCCUGAUACAGCCAUGACGCGUGUAUGAAGAAGGCAAUCGGGUUGUAAAGUACUUUCAGCGAGGAGGCGUUACUCGCAGAAGAAGCACCGGCUAAAUACGUGCCAGCAGCCGCGGUAAUAC
Molecule: ribosomal RNA, 406 nt
Filed under: uncultured bacterium
Lineage: Bacteria
Description: partial 16S ribosomal RNA
Rfam family: Bacterial small subunit ribosomal RNA
Source: RNAcentral